Molecule: transfer RNA, 72 nt
Filed under: Actinomadura citrea
Lineage: Bacteria; Bacillati; Actinomycetota; Actinomycetes; Streptosporangiales; Thermomonosporaceae
Description: tRNA-Val
Source: RNAcentral
UCGUGCCGUCGCCCGGCGGCUGGGGUUCGUCCUUGACGGGGCCGGGGGCCGGUUCCGUCCGGCGGCGGGGCC